Molecule: ribosomal RNA, 497 nt
Filed under: uncultured bacterium
Lineage: Bacteria
Description: partial 16S ribosomal RNA
Rfam family: Bacterial small subunit ribosomal RNA
Source: RNAcentral
GAUGAACGCUGGCGGCGUGCCUAAUACGUGCAAGUCGAGCGAACAGACGAGGAGCUUGCUCCUCUGACGUUAGCGGCGGACGGGUGAGUAACACGUGGAUAACCUACCUAUAAGACUGGGAUAACUUCGGGAAACCGGAGCUAAUCCCGGAUAAUAUAUUGAACCGCAUGGUUCAAUAGUGAAAGACGGUUUUGCUGUCACUUAUAGUUGUAUCCGCGCCGCAUUAGCUAGUUGGUAAGGUAACGGCUUACCAAGGCAACGAUGCGUAGCCGACCUGAGAGGGUGAUCGGCCAGACUGGAACUGAGAAACGGUCCAGACUCCUAAGGGAGGCAGCAGUAGGGAAUCUUCCGCAAUGGGCGAAAGCCUGACGGAGCAACGCCGCGUGAGUGAUGAAGGUCUUCGGAUCGUAAAACUCUGUUAUUAGGGAAGAACAAAUGUGUAAGUAACUAUGCACGUCUUGACGGUACCUAAUCAGAAAGCCACGGCUAACUACGUG